Molecule: ribosomal RNA, 1238 nt
Filed under: Listeria monocytogenes serotype 1/2b
Lineage: Bacteria; Bacillati; Bacillota; Bacilli; Caryophanales; Listeriaceae
Description: partial 23S ribosomal RNA
Rfam family: Bacterial large subunit ribosomal RNA
Source: RNAcentral
UUGGUUAAGUUAGAAAGGGCGCACGGUGGAUGCCUUGGCACUAGGAGCCGAAGAAGGACGGGACUAACACCGAUAUGCUUUGGGGAGCUGUACGUAAGCGUUGAUCCAGAGAUUUCCGAAUGGGGGAACCCACUAUCUUUAGUCGGAUAGUAUCCUUACGUGAAUACAUAGCGUGAGGAAGGCAGACCCAGGGAACUGAAACAUCUAAGUACCUGGAGGAAGAGAAAGAAAAAUCGAUUUCCUGAGUAGCGGCGAGCGAAACGGAAAGAGCCCAAACCAAGAAGCUUGCUUCUUGGGGUUGUAGGACACUCUAUACGGAGUUACAAAAGAAAGUUAUAAAUGAAGCGGUCUGGAAAGGCCCGCCAAAGACGGUAACAGCCCGGUAGUUGAAAUGGCUUUCCCUCCAGAGUGGAUCCUGAGUACGGCGGAACACGUGAAAUUCCGUCGGAAUCCGGGAGGACCAUCUCCCAAGGCUAAAUACUCCCUAGUGACCGAUAGUGAACCAGUACCGUGAGGGAAAGGUGAAAAGCACCCCGGAAGGGGAGUGAAACAGUUCCUGAAACCGUGUGCCUACAAGUAGUUAGAGCCCGUUAAUGGGUGAUAGCGUGCCUUUUGUAGAAUGAACCGGCGAGUUACGAUUUGUUGCAAGGUUAAGCGGAAAAAGCGGAGCCGUAGCGAAAGCGAGUCUGAAUAGGGCGCAUAAGUAACAGGUCGUAGACCCGAAACCAGGUGAUCUACCCAUGUCCAGGAUGAAGGUAAGGUAAUACUUACUGGAGGUCCGAACCCACGCACGUUGAAAAGUGCGGGGAUGAGGUGUGGGUAGCGGAGAAAUUCCAAUCGAACUUGGAGAUAGCUGGUUCUCUCCGAAAUAGCUUUAGGGCUAGCCUCGAGGUAAAGAGUCAUGGAGGUAGAGCACUGUUUGGACUAGGGGCCCUUCUCGGGUUACCGAAUUCAGAUAAACUCCGAAUGCCAUGUACUUAUACUCGGGAGUCAGACUGCGAGUGAUAAGAUCCGUAGUCGAAAGGGAAACAGCCCAGACCACCAGUUAAGGUCCCCAAAUAUAUGUUAAGUGGAAAAGGAUGUGGGGUUGCUUAGACAACCAGGAUGUUGGCUUAGAAGCAGCCACCAUUGAAAGAGUGCGUAAUAGCUCACUGGUCGAGUGACCCCGCGCCGAAAAUGUACCGGGGCUAAACAUAUUACCGAAACUGUGGAUGAACCUCUUUAGAGGUUCGUGGUAG